GACAGAGGUGCCGAGCGUUAGGCGGAAUCACUGGGCUUAAAGCGUGUGUAGGCGGACUUGUAAGUACCUUGUGAAAUCCCAUGGCUCAACCAUGGAACUGCUUGGUAUACUGCUUGUCUUGAGCCACUUAGGGGCAGUCGGAACAGACGGUGGAGCGGUGAAAUGCGCAGAUAUCAGGAGGAACACCGAUGGCGAAGGCAGGUCUCUGGGCAUUAACUGACGCUGAGGAGCGAAAGCAUGGGGAGCGAACAGG
This 253-nucleotide ribosomal RNA is filed under the name uncultured bacterium. RNAcentral's name for it is "partial 16S ribosomal RNA". It matches the Rfam family "Bacterial small subunit ribosomal RNA", at positions 524 to 776 of the family's 1533-position model. The record is from RNAcentral.